AUGAGUCGACCUGAUGGGAUCAACAUCCCCGACGGCAAGUUCUACCUUGGAGAUGCUGGCUAUGCAUGUCGGCCGGGUAUUCUUCCACCCUUCAGGAAAACAAGGUACCAUCUCAACGAGUUCUCUGGUAGGAACUAUCCUAGGACUGCACAGGAGCUGUUUAAUCUCAGACACUCCAGCCUUAGAGUAACUGUUGAGAGGGCAUUUGGAGCUCUGAAGAAUAGGUUUAAGAUCCUGGAUCAGAAGCCAUUCCACCCAUACUCCACUUAG
This 270-nucleotide ribosomal RNA is filed under the name Triticum aestivum (bread wheat). RNAcentral's name for it is "partial small subunit ribosomal RNA". The record is from RNAcentral. Lineage: Eukaryota; Viridiplantae; Streptophyta; Magnoliopsida; Poales; Poaceae.